This is a long non-coding RNA of Triticum dicoccoides, 842 nucleotides long. RefSeq lists it as uncharacterized. The record is from RefSeq and is a predicted model, not a curated record. Lineage: Eukaryota; Viridiplantae; Streptophyta; Magnoliopsida; Poales; Poaceae. The transcript has 3 exons.
UUCUCGGUCUCUUCAUAUUGCUUUCUUCUCAUCAAAGGUACUACCCGCUGGAUCGGUUCCACCACUUCUCAUGAGUAGACAAGAUGCUGAGCAUGCACACAUAGACACAGUCAAAGGACCCGGCCACUCCAAAAGGCAAAUCAACUAAUCGUUUCCCGGCCUCUGUGAAGAAAUUCUAGAGCUGCUCUCAUGUUGUCUAGAUGGGUCCAAUUAAUAUGAUCCAAGUUCUGCUUGCAAAUGAUUUUGCAAUUGCAUCAUUAGCUUGCUAAUUUCGCCGUUUGCAUUAGCAUAAGAGGGGCCUGACAAAACUGAAGUGGCCGGUACUCAGCUGUAAGCCUUUAUUUCCAAAUGAUAGCAUCCAGGUAUUUCUUUUCCCUUGCCAAAAGAUUCAACGACCACAUGUUAGUCAAUCAACAACCUUCCUGAAUUUCUAUCUACAAAACUGGGCUGCUGGAGGAUGACAUCCAUGCUUUGGAUGAUGAAGCUGCUGCUGAGCUGAGAAUCAUGUCAUGUCCAGUGCAAAGUUCAAGAGAAUGCUGACUGGAUCGGUGCUUCAGCGUGUGUUAGAUGGAAAAGCCGCUUCUAUCCAGCACCGCUUUCCUUAUGCGAUGUUGCUUAAAAUUCAGUGUUCUAUUUUGUCAUCCAUGGUUAACCUUACCUUUUAUCUAUGAACAAGCAUUCUCAACAGUUAGUGCUCGGUUUGUAAUGAAUAUUAUGUUGCAUCGAAAUUGCUUGAUGUGUUCAACUUUUGUAGUAAUGCCUACCUCUGAAUAUUAUGUUGCAUCAAAACUGCUUUUUGCUCUCUCGGACCUGUAUUGCUUUGUAUGAAUAAUAGAAUUUUG